This 489-nucleotide ribosomal RNA is filed under the name uncultured bacterium. RNAcentral describes it as "partial 16S ribosomal RNA". It matches the Rfam family "Bacterial small subunit ribosomal RNA", at positions 28 to 506 of the family's 1533-position model. The record is from RNAcentral.
GAUGAACGCUAGCGAUAGGCUUAACACAUGCAAGUCGAGGGGCAGCAUGGUCUUAGCUUGCUAAGACUGAUGGCGACCGGCGCACGGGUGCGUAACGCGUAUGCAACUUGCCUCACAGAGGGGGAUAACCCGUCGAAAGACGGACUAAUACCGCGUACACUCCAUCUUGGGCAUCCAAGGUAGAGGAAAUGAAAUUCGCUGUGAGAUAGGCAUGCGUCCCAUUAGCUAGUUGGUGAGGUAACGGCUCACCAAGGCGACGAUGGGUAGGGGAACUGAGAGGUUGAACCCCCACACUGGUACUGAGACACGGACCAGACUCCUACGGGAGGCAGCAGUGAGGAAUAUUGGUCAAUGGGCGAGAGCCUGAACCAGCCAAGUCGCGUGAAGGAUGACGGUCUUAUGGAUUGUAAACUUCUUUUAUACGGGAAUAACAAGAGUCACGUGUGACUCCCUGCAUGUACCGUAUGAAUAAGCAUCGGCUAACUCCGU